Molecule: long non-coding RNA, 650 nt
Filed under: Pan troglodytes (chimpanzee)
Lineage: Eukaryota; Metazoa; Chordata; Mammalia; Primates; Hominidae
Description: long non-coding RNA NONPTRT011883
Source: RNAcentral
GAAGGUUCGGAGAGGCCCAGGGCUGCGCUUCCCGGCUUGAGGGGUCCCAGGAGUGAGCGGGAUCGAGAGUGAUCUGUGCAGAGAGGGAGUCUGCGGACCGGGCCAGAGGCUCAGGUUGUUCGGAUGCUGGCGGGACUCGCGUCAGCAUUCGGCCCCAGAGCCCGCGUGAGGGGCGGCGGGUCCUGAAGGACCAACCUCCUGCACGUGAGGGUGUCGUGACUGAGAGGGGCCUGGGCAGUGGGCAUUUUCGGGUGCUGUGCAGCAAGGGGACCGGGGGAGUCCGUCGAGGGCAGAAGAGCGGAAGGCGCUGGUGGCAGACCGAGUCUGGCAGGGACUGUGCUUGUGCAAGGCAGCUGGCCACUGUCAGGCCUAGGACGACGGCCAGAGCGUGGGAGAGACGACAAAGUGCCCCCUCAGCCUGGGAGCGUCGGGGCCUUUGAGCGCCCGCGUCCUCCGCUUCCAACUUGCAGGCCACACUCUGCAGCCCCGUUCCUGACCAAGCUGGUGCUUCUGCGUGUGUUCCUGCAUGACUUGGUGUGUCCCCUUCUCUUGGAUCUGUCAGCCUGCACACAGGCCUGUGCUCUUCAAGACCACGCAGGCCUCACCAUUCCCUCUGACAGCUCACUGCUGCCCUUCUUCACACACGCAAG